GCCCAGCCAUAACAAAACAAUAAAAUAACCAAUUGUCCGCCAAAUAACUACGAGUAGUAACUUAAAAUUUAAAAGACUUGACGGUACCCCACAACAACCUAGAGGAGCCUGUCUAAUAAAUGAUACUCCACGAUUAACCCUACCCACCAUGGCCCAACAGUCUAUAUACCGCCGUCGCCAGCCCACCUCAUGAGAGAACAAAAGUGAGCCAAAUAGCCCACACUAACACGACAGGUCAAGGUGUAACUAAUGGGUGGGACUAAGAUGGGCUACAUUUUCUUAACUAGAACAUACGGAUCAACUAUGAAAAAGAAACUAAAGGCGGAUUUAGCAGUAUAUUAAGAACAAAAUACUUAAUUGAAACUAACGCAAUGGGGUGCGCACACACCGCCCGUCAUCCCUGCAAUCAAACAAACUUAUCUAUAAUAACACAUUAACAUAAAUCAGGGCAAGUCGUAACAUGGUAAGUGUACUGGAAAGUGUACUUAGAAA
Molecule: ribosomal RNA, 492 nt
Filed under: Oligodon albocinctus (Light-barred kukri snake)
Lineage: Eukaryota; Metazoa; Chordata; Lepidosauria; Squamata; Colubridae
Description: partial 12S ribosomal RNA
Source: RNAcentral